GACGAACGCUGGCGGCGUGCUUAACACAUGCAAGUCGAACGGAAAGGCCCUGCUUUUGUGGGGUGCUCGAGUGGCGAACGGGUGAGUAACACGUGAGUAACCUGCCCUUGACUUUGGGAUAACUUCAGGAAACUGGGGCUAAUAACGGAUAGGAGCUCCUGUUGCAUGGUGGGGGUUGGAAAGUUUCGGCGGUUGGGGAUGGACUCGCGGCUUAUCAGCUUGUUGGUGGGGUAGUGGCUUACCAAGGCUUUGACGGGUAGCCGGCCUGAGAGGGUGACCGGCCACAUUGGGACUGAGAUACGGCCCAGACUCCUACGGGAGGCAGCAGUGGGGAAUAUUGCACAAUGGGCGGAAGCCUGAUGCAGCAACGCCGCGUGCGGGAUGACGGCCUUCGGGUUGUAAACCGCUUUCGCCUGUGACGAAGCGUGAGUGACGGUAAUGGGUAAAGAAGCACCGGCUAACUACGUG
RNAcentral lists this ribosomal RNA (468 nucleotides) under uncultured bacterium. RNAcentral describes it as "partial 16S ribosomal RNA". It matches the Rfam family "Bacterial small subunit ribosomal RNA", at positions 28 to 507 of the family's 1533-position model. The record is from RNAcentral.